UACGUAGGUGGCAAGCGUUGUCCGGAUUUACUGGGCGUAAAGAGCGCGCAGGCGGUCGUUCAAGUCGCGUGUGAAGGCCCCCGGCUCAACUGGGGAGGGUCACGCGAUACUGAUCGACUCGAAGGCAGGAGAGGGUGGUGGAAUUCCCGGUGUAGUGGUGAAAUGCGUAGAUAUCGGGAGGAACACCAGUGGCGAAGGCGACUACCUGGCCUGUUCUUGACGCUGAGGCGCGAAAGCUAGGGGAGCAAACGGG
RNAcentral lists this ribosomal RNA (253 nucleotides) under uncultured bacterium. Its description in RNAcentral is "partial 16S ribosomal RNA". It matches the Rfam family "Bacterial small subunit ribosomal RNA", at positions 524 to 776 of the family's 1533-position model. The record is from RNAcentral.